AACGUAGGGCCCGAGCGUUGUCCGGAAUCACUGGGCGUAAAGCGCGCGCAGGCGGUGACCUAAGUGUCGUGUGAAAGCCCCCGGCUCAACUGGGGGAGGCCACGGCAAAAUGGGUCGCUCGAGCUGCGGAGAGGCCCCUCGAAUUGCCGGUGUAGCGGUGAAAUGCGUAGAGAUCGGCAGGAAGACCAAGGGGGAAGCCAGGGGGCUGGCCGCAGGCUGACGCUGAGGCGCGACAGCGUGGGGAGCAAACCGG
RNAcentral lists this ribosomal RNA (253 nucleotides) under uncultured bacterium. RNAcentral describes it as "partial 16S ribosomal RNA". It matches the Rfam family "Bacterial small subunit ribosomal RNA", at positions 524 to 776 of the family's 1533-position model. The record is from RNAcentral.